GCUCUCUUAGCUCAGUUGGUAGAGCACUUCACUCGUAACGAAGGGGUCACAAGUUCGAGUCUUGUAGGGAGCA
RNAcentral lists this transfer RNA (73 nucleotides) under Lactococcus garvieae. RNAcentral's name for it is "tRNA_Thr_CGT". It matches the Rfam family "tRNA". From Rfam's summary of the family: Transfer RNA (tRNA) molecules are approximately 80 nucleotides in length. RNAcentral also lists the same sequence under 1 other name. Lineage: Bacteria; Bacillati; Bacillota; Bacilli; Lactobacillales; Streptococcaceae. The record is from RNAcentral.